GACGAACGCUGGCGGCGUGCUUAACACAUGCAAGUCGAACGGAGAGGCCCUGCUUUUGUGGGGUGCUCGAGUGGCGAACGGGUGAGUAACACGUGAGUAACCUGCCCUUGACUUUGGGAUAACUUCAGGAAACUGGGGCUAAUACCGGAUAGGAGCUCCUGCUGCAUGGUGGGGGUUGGAAAGUUUCGGCGGUUGGGGAUGGACUCGCGGCUUAUCAGCUUGUUGGUGGGGUAGUGGCUUACCAAGGCUUUGACGGGUAGCCGGCCUGAGAGGGUGACCGGCCACAUUGGGACUGAGAUACGGCCCAGACUCCUACGGGAGGCAGCAGUGGGGAAUAUUGCACAAUGGGCGGAAGCCUGAUGCAGCAACGCCGCGUGCGGGAUGACGGCCUUCGGGUUGUAAAACGCUUUCGCCUGUGACGAAGCGUGAGUGACGGUAAUGAGUAAAGAAGCACCGGCUAACUACGUG
Molecule: ribosomal RNA, 468 nt
Filed under: uncultured bacterium
Lineage: Bacteria
Description: partial 16S ribosomal RNA
Rfam family: Bacterial small subunit ribosomal RNA
Source: RNAcentral